Molecule: transfer RNA, 68 nt
Filed under: Megacampsomeris sp. 1 YJY-2023a
Lineage: Eukaryota; Metazoa; Arthropoda; Insecta; Hymenoptera; Scoliidae
Description: tRNA-Pro
Source: RNAcentral
CAAAAAAUAAUUUAAUUUAAAAUAUAAAUUUUGGAGAUUUGCAAUAUGGUUUAAACCCAUUUUUUUGA